UACGUAGGGGGCAAGCGUUGUCCGGAUUUAUUGGGCGUAAAGAGCGUGUAGGCGGCCAGGUAGGUCUGCUGUGAAAACUCGAGGCUUAACCUCGAGAUGUCGGCGGAAACCAUCUGGCUAGAGUCCGGAAGAGGAGAAUGGAAUUCCUGGUGUAGCGGUGAAAUGCGCAGAUAUCAGGAAGAACACCCGUGGCGAAGGCGGUUCUCUGGGACGGUACUGACGCUGAGACGCGAAAGCGUGGGGAGCGAACAGG
This 253-nucleotide ribosomal RNA is filed under the name uncultured bacterium. RNAcentral describes it as "partial 16S ribosomal RNA". It matches the Rfam family "Bacterial small subunit ribosomal RNA", at positions 524 to 776 of the family's 1533-position model. The record is from RNAcentral.